RNAcentral lists this ribosomal RNA (424 nucleotides) under Verrucomicrobiota bacterium. RNAcentral's name for it is "Verrucomicrobia bacterium partial 16S ribosomal RNA". It matches the Rfam family "Bacterial small subunit ribosomal RNA", at positions 355 to 776 of the family's 1533-position model. Lineage: Bacteria; Pseudomonadati; Verrucomicrobiota. The record is from RNAcentral.
UGAGGAAUAUUGGUCAAUGGGCGAGAGCCUGAACCAGCCAAGUAGCGUGCAGGAUAACGGCCCUAUGGGUUGUAAACUGCUUUUAUAUGGGAAUAAAGUGAGGGACGUGUCCCUUAUUGCAUGUACCAUAUGAAUAAGGACCGGCUAAUUCCGUGCCAGCAGCCGCGGUAAUACGGAAGGUCCAGGCGUUAUCCGGAUUUAUUGGGUUUAAAGGGAGCGUAGGCUGUUUGUUAAGCGUGUUGUGAAAUGUAAGAGCUCAACUUUUAGAUUGCAGCGCGAACUGGCAGACUUGAGUGCGCACAACGUAGGCGGAAUUCAUGGUGUAGCGGUGAAAUGCUUAGAUAUCAUGACGAACUCCGAUUGCGAAGGCAGCUUACGGGAGCGCAACUGACGCUAAAGCUCGAAGGUGCGGGUAUCGAACAGG